RNAcentral lists this ribosomal RNA (474 nucleotides) under uncultured bacterium. RNAcentral's name for it is "bacterial SSU rRNA". It matches the Rfam family "Bacterial small subunit ribosomal RNA", at positions 33 to 518 of the family's 1533-position model. The record is from RNAcentral.
ACGCUGGCGGCACGCUUAACACAUGCAAGUCGAACGGAGAAUAUUUGAGUUACUUAGAUAUUCUUAGUGGCGGACGGGUGAGUAACACGUGGGCAACCUGCCUCUGAGAGGGGGAUAGCUUCUGGAAACGGAUGGUAAUACCCCAUAACAUAGUCUGAAGACAUCUUUAGACUAUCAAAGAUUUAUCGCUCAGAGAUGGGCUCGCGUCUGAUUAGCUAGUUGGUGAGGUAACGGCCCACCAAGGCGACGAUCAGUAGCCGGACUGAGAGGUUGAACGGCCACAUUGGGACUGAGACACGGCCCAGACUCCUACGGGAGGCAGCAGUGGGGAAUAUUGCACAAUGGGGGAAAAACCCCUGAUGCAGCGAUGCCGCGUGGAGGAAGAAGGUUUUCGGGUUGUAAACUCCUGUCUUAAAGGACGAUAAUGACGGUACUUUAGGAGGAAGCUCCGGCUAACUACGUGCCAGCCGCCGC